This 324-nucleotide ribosomal RNA is filed under the name uncultured eukaryote. Its description in RNAcentral is "partial 18S ribosomal RNA". It matches the Rfam family "Eukaryotic small subunit ribosomal RNA", at positions 1470 to 1796 of the family's 1831-position model. The record is from RNAcentral.
CCCUUAGACGUUCUGGGCCGCACGCGCGCUACACUGACGAAGGCAACGAGCUUUCCUUUACCGAAAGGUACGGGUAAUCUCUUGAAAUUUGCUCGUGAUGGGGAUCGACGGUUGCAAUUUUCCGUCGUGAACGAGGAAUACCUUGUAGGCGCAUGUCAUCAUCAUGCGCCGAAUACGUCCCUGCCCUUUGUACACACCGCCCGUCGCUCCUACCGAUUGAAUGGUCCGGUGAAAUCUCGGGAUUGUGGCCAGUUCACUUUAUUGGGAGUUGGCUGCGAGAACUUGCUUAAACCUUAUCAUUUAGAGGAAGGUGAAGUCGUAACA